Molecule: long non-coding RNA, 470 nt
Organism: Peromyscus eremicus (cactus mouse)
Lineage: Eukaryota; Metazoa; Chordata; Mammalia; Rodentia; Cricetidae
Exons: 2
Source: RefSeq, a predicted model, not a curated record
GAUGGAGCUGGGGGGAGGGGAACAAAAUAAGGCUCAAGUCUUCUUUGUCCUCUUCUGGGCAAACGUGAGCCUUAGGGCUGUCCCCAGGGAGAGGUGUUGGACACCUGCUUCAUGGCAUUACGGUGUGUGGGCAACAAAAGCCAGGGUCCUCAAAGCCCCUGACUACAGCCUUCUAGGCACUGCUAACUCACAAGCUGAGCUGCGGAAGCAUGAACAGCUCCUCUCCUGGCAACGGCAGCCACGUGACGCUGCUGCGGGCAGAGGCCAGGUAGACACGCACGGACCCAACAAGACCCUCAACGCUGUCCUGUCCGGUGCUGGAUCCUCUAUACAGGACAGUCUCCUGGGGGGUCACAUGGCUGACUGAGGCUGGCAAGGAAAAGUGGGAGACGUCGGCCUGAGAAUUUCCUAACGGCUCUCCGCCCCACCGGCUCCUGGCCUGGUAAUAAAAGUGAGAUGAAGAAACAGCA